GGUCAGUGAUGAGCAGUAAAAGGUCUGAUUACCCACAAUCCUCUCCUGCUGCCCUCCGGCUCCCAGCAGCCCCUGCUCUGUGCUCCCAUUAUGCUCAAGUGCUGCAGUGGUGGUCCCAGGAGCUGCUGACAGACAGGAUGUGACAUCACAGUGAGUCUGUACAGAGAUCCUACAGGCUCAGUGUGAUGAUGACUGACAUCCAACAGAACCAAUCAGCAUGGAGCGUGAGGGGGGUGGAGGAGGAGGCGGGGCCUGAUCUCAAGUUUUCAACCUGAGACC
RNAcentral lists this small nucleolar RNA (279 nucleotides) under Cyclopterus lumpus (lumpfish). Its description in RNAcentral is "Small Cajal body specific RNA 6 (ENSCLMG00005005734.1)". It matches the Rfam family "Small Cajal body specific RNA 6". Rfam says of the family: U88 is small Cajal body specific RNA (scaRNA). scaRNAs are a novel class of small nuclear RNAs which localise to the Cajal bodies. Lineage: Eukaryota; Metazoa; Chordata; Actinopteri; Perciformes; Cyclopteridae. The record is from Rfam by way of RNAcentral.